AACGAACGCUGGCGGCAUGCCUAACACAUGCAAGUCGAACGAGACCUUCGGGUCUAGUGGCGCACGGGUGCGUAACGCGUGGGAACCUGCCCUUAGGUUCGGAAUAACUCCCCGACAGGGGUGCUAAUACCGGAUAAUGUCUUCGGACCAAAGAUUUAUCGCCUUUGGAUGGGCCCGCGUUGGAUUAGCUAGUUGGUAGGGUAAAAGCCUACCAAGGCGACGAUCCAUAGCUGGUCUGAGAGGAUGAUCAGACACACUGGGACUGAGACACGGCCCAGACUCCUACGGGAGGGAGCAGUGGGGAAUAUUGGAAAAUGGGCGAAAGCAUGAACCAGCAAUGCCGCGUGAGUGAUGAAGGCCGUAGGGUUGUAAAGCUCUUUUACCCGGGAUGAUAAUGACAGUACCGGGAGAAUAAGCACCGGCUAACUCCGUG
This 433-nucleotide ribosomal RNA is filed under the name uncultured bacterium. Its description in RNAcentral is "partial 16S ribosomal RNA". It matches the Rfam family "Bacterial small subunit ribosomal RNA", at positions 29 to 507 of the family's 1533-position model. The record is from RNAcentral.